ACAGCUCAAAUUUGAAAUCUGGCUCUUUCAGGGUCCGAGUUGUAAUUUGUAGAAGAUGCUUUGGGUGUCGGCCCAGUCUAAGUUCCUUGGAACAGGACGUCAUAGAGGGUGAGAAUCCCGUAUGUGACUGGCUGCCUCCGUUCAUGUGAAGCUCUUUCGACGAGUCGAGUUGUUUGGGAAUGCAGCUCAAAAUGGGUGGUAAAUUUCAUCUAAAGCUAAAUAUUGGCCAGAGACCGAUA
RNAcentral lists this ribosomal RNA (239 nucleotides) under Pezizellaceae sp. RNAcentral's name for it is "partial large subunit ribosomal RNA". It matches the Rfam family "Eukaryotic large subunit ribosomal RNA", at positions 104 to 339 of the family's 3401-position model. Lineage: Eukaryota; Fungi; Ascomycota; Leotiomycetes; Helotiales; Pezizellaceae. The record is from RNAcentral.